AGUCGAACGGCAGCGCGGGCUUCGUGCCUGGCGGCGAGUGGCGAACGGGUGAGUAAUACAUCGGAACGUGCCCUGUCGUGGGGGAUAACUAGUCGAAAGAUUAGCUAAUACCGCAUACGACCUGAGGGUGAAAGCGGGGGACCGGUAACGGCCUCGCGCGAUAGGAGCGGCCGAUGUCUGAUUAUCUAGUUGGUGGGGUAAAGGCCUACCAGGGCGACGAUCAGUAUCUGGUCUGAGAGGACGAUCACCCACUCUGGGACUGAGACACGGCCCAGACUCCUACGGGAGGCAGCAGUGGGGAAUUUUGGACAAUGGGGGCAACCCUGAUCCAGCAAUGCCGCGUGUGUGAAGAAGGCCUUCGGGUUGUAAAGCACUUUUGUCCGGAAAGAAAUGGCCCUGGCUAAUACCCGGGGUCGAUGACGGUACCGGAAGAAUAAGCACCGGCUAACUACGUGCCAGCAGCCGCGGUAAUACGUAGGGUGCGAGCGUUAAUCAGAAUUACUGGGCGUAAAGCGUGCGCAGGCGGUUUGAUAAGACAGGCGUGAAAUCCCCGGGCUCAACCUGGGAAUGGCGCUUGUGACUGUCAGGCUAGAGUGCGUCAGAGGGGGGUAGAAUUCCACGUGUAGCAGUGAAAUGCGUAGAGAUGUGGAGGAAUACCGAUGGCGAACGCAGCCCCCUGGGACGUGACUGACUCUCAUGCACGAAAGCGUGGAGAGCAAACAAGAUUAUAUACCCUGGUACUCCACGCCCUAAACGAUGUCACUAUUUGUUGGAGAUUCAUUUCUUCAGUAACGUAUCUAACGCGUGAAGUUGACCGCCUGGAGAGUACGGUCACGAGAUUAACACUCAAAAGAAUUGACGGAGACCCGCACAAGCGGUGUGAUGAUGUGUAUUAUUUCUAUGCAACGCGAAACACCUUCACCUACUCUUGACAUGCCUACUAACGAAGCAGAUGAUGCAUUAGUUGCCCAGAAAGGAAAAGUGAACACAGCUGCUGCAUGGCUGUCGUCAUCUCGUGUCGUGAGAUGUGGAUAAGUCCCGCACGAGCGCACCCAUGGCUCUAGUGCUACCAGACCUCUAGAGAGACUGCGGUGCACAUCUGAGAGUGUAUG
RNAcentral lists this ribosomal RNA (1112 nucleotides) under Cupriavidus sp. 11RB1. RNAcentral describes it as "bacterial SSU rRNA". It matches the Rfam family "Bacterial small subunit ribosomal RNA", at positions 60 to 1177 of the family's 1533-position model. Lineage: Bacteria; Pseudomonadati; Pseudomonadota; Betaproteobacteria; Burkholderiales; Burkholderiaceae. The record is from RNAcentral.